RNAcentral lists this long non-coding RNA (355 nucleotides) under Mytilus galloprovincialis (Mediterranean mussel). The record is from RNAcentral. Lineage: Eukaryota; Metazoa; Mollusca; Bivalvia; Mytilida; Mytilidae.
UUCAAUCAUUUUUCCCCACAAAAAGGGGGCUGGCCCCCUGAAAAACCUCUAAAUCCGCCUCUGAUACAUGUAAUACCUUCACUAGAAUGUCUUAAUAAAUUUUAGUAAAAUCAAUUUGGUCAGAAAAAACGAAAGUUUACAAUGGUCAAUUAACCAGGAAUAAACAUUAAUACACAUAGUUUAUAUGUAUAUGAAAUGCUUAUUUACCUGAAUCAGCCUUUAGGGAAAACGUCACUAAAAAUGAGCACUGGUACGCUUACUACUACGGUAACAGAAUUAUUGCAUACAAAUGCGUAGUUCGUCAACCGUUCUUUUUAUUUACCUUAUUCCCCUUAGCAACGCACACAGGUAUAAA